Molecule: ribosomal RNA, 668 nt
Filed under: uncultured bacterium
Lineage: Bacteria
Description: bacterial SSU rRNA
Rfam family: Bacterial small subunit ribosomal RNA
Source: RNAcentral
UGCAAGUCGCGCGACAAGCCAUUUUUAGCUUGCUAUUUAUGGUGGAGGAGCGGCGAAAGGGAGAGUAACGCGUGGAUCACCUACCCAAGGGUGCGGAAUAGCGGUUGGAAACGACCGGUAAUGCCGCAUAACGUCUCCGGACCAAAGCCCCGGCGCCUUUGGACGGGUCCGCGUACCAUUAGCUUGUUGGUGGGGUAAAAGCCUACCAAGGCUGAGAUGGUUAGUGGGCGUGAGAGCGUGGCCCACCUCACUGGGACUGAGACACUGCCCAGACACCUACGGGUGGCUGCAGUCGAGAAUCUUUGUCAAUGGACGCAAGUCUGAACAAGCGAUGCCGCGUGCGGGAUGAAGGCCUUCGGGUUGUAAACCGCUGUCAGAGGGGAGCAAAUUUUGAGCGAUCCUCAGAGGAAGCCCGGGCUAAGUUCGUGCCAGCAGCCGCGGUAACACGAACCGGGCAAACGUUAUUCGGAAUCACUGGGCUUAAAGGGUGCGUAGGCGGCGCUAUAAGUCGGGUGUGAAAUCCCACGGCCCAACCGUGGAACUGCGCCCGAUACUGUAGUGCUUGAGGGAGAUAGAGGUGAGCGGAACGAAUGGUGGAGCGGUGAAAUGCGUUGAUAUCAUUCGGAACACCCGUGGCGAAAGCGGCUCACUGGGUCUCUUCUGACGCU